CUAAAACCUGCAGUUCUCCACAGCGGCCACUGUCUUUACAACAGCAGUCUGUUGUAAAGACAGCAGGUCCGAGCGGCGGACCUGCUGGACACCAGAGCCAAACAUUAACAUGAACAAACUGCAGACAGAUAUCAACUAAAUCAACCAAGUGUUGAAAACUACAAUAAUCCCAGCCAACAUACCUCGGUGGGCCCCAUUUGACCUACAGUGUUGCUCACGUUUAUCCCUUAUGGGGCCCACCAAGCUCACAGCAAACUUUGGGAAAGGUCACACCUGUGCGUGGGACUCAUAAAAAGCAGACAAAUAUUGAAAGUGUGUACUAAUGUAAAGUAUCAGUGGCAUUCUUGGACUUACUUUGUAUAAUUACUUUUGAUGUUUUAUUUGCAUUAAUAUUUGGUCAUUUUUCCUCUGGACAUUUUGUUCUCAUGCAGCCUUUCUCCUCUCUGCUCCCCUCAGCCAUUCAGGUCCACUAGAGGGCAGCGUUACCAGGUUCUGUCCUCUGCUGUGGUUCUGUGUUCCAGCACUCUGUCACUCCACAGACCAGGUGCCAGAGAAGUUCUUGUCUCCCAGGCAGAACAAAUGAGAAACGUUAAUCCGGCUGUUGAAGAGCUGCAGCGUUCCCUCCAGAUCCCGGUCUGAAUCAUUCCGACUGGUUCUAGCAGACUCAGUCUGAGUUUGGACUGGGUUUAAUGGGACGGGCCGUCACCAGGCUGAAUGCAGCCAGAGCUCAGUGAGGGGAGGAGCUCCACUCUGACAGACUUUGUGUUGGAGCUGAAGAGCUGCUGCUGUCUCUCUGUUCUUCUGUCAGUACCAGGGAAAUAAUGCUGCUGCUGCUUUUCUCCUGCAUGAUGAUGACCUUCUGCCUCCAGCCAGGAUCCUCUGAGGAUUUACUGACACCAUUUAAAGACGAUCAGCUGGAUUUGGAAGGAAACAAUGUGACUCUGUCCUGCAACUAUUCAGGAACAGUAAACCUGCUCUUGUGGUACCGACAAACGCCCAGUUCAUCUCCACAGCUGGUCACCUCAGGAUAUUCAGACACAACAGGAAGGCUUUCAUUGAGACACGAGAAAACAACGAAGACGUUUCAUCUGCUGAUCUCCUCUGCUGCAGUGACAGACUCUGCUGUGUACUACUGCGCUGUGAGGCCCACAGUGACAGGAAACACCAGAACCCUGUGCAAAAACCUGCAGUACUCCACAGCAGCCACUAGAGGGUCUCACUCCCUGUUAAACCACUAAAACCUGCAGUACUCCACAGCAGCCACCAGGGGGCGACAUGCUCCAGCAGGCGGCGCUCUCCUUGUGCUCUGUGCUCCAGCAUCGUGUCAAUAAG
Non-coding RNA from Poecilia latipinna (sailfin molly), 1332 nucleotides. The record is from the annotation of a RefSeq genome assembly. NCBI's taxonomy places the organism in Eukaryota, Metazoa, Chordata, Actinopteri, Cyprinodontiformes, Poeciliidae.